CAAGCAUACUUUUACAGAGGUUUUAGUGUAUUUAGAAAAAAACAUAUAUUUUUUUAAACAUGUACAUUAAUUUUAAUAGGCUAACAUUGCAAUUUCAACAUCAUAUCAUUGAACUUGCAUUAUAUAUUGAUUUCACAAAGUUAGUCCACAUAAAUUUGUUAGUGUUUAUAUUCAAACAACACACGUGACGGACCUGACUAAACCUCAUUGGUUCUUGGGAUUCAGUACGUCACAUUGGCUUCCUGAUUCAGUUGUUCGAUACACAACGUGCGUGAUCGUUGGUAAAUGUGGAUUAAAAGUUGAAACUAAAACUGUUAAAUUAUAUAUAGUGAUCAUCAGAGGACUUGGCUGAAACAACGCGAUUCACAUGGAUUACUUCGGCGAUGUUUUUUAUUGCUGUUGCGAUUAACUUUUUGAAAUGUGAGCAGUUUUUAAGUAGGUUAUCAAGUGGAUCUGACAUCGAGGGGAAAUAUACGUUUCUUGGAUUUCAUUAAAGUACAUCGGUUUUUGUUUGAAGAUGAAUGAGAGAACAUGAGGCACAGCGGCAUUCAAAUUGACCAAUCAGAGCCGAGAAUAUCUAAUAAGUCGAAGUAGAGAUGAACAGAUGAAGAUACAGCCCGUAAAAAUACUUAUUCUUGGUGAGUGCCAUGUAGCGACGGAUCAAACGGACACUCAUGUCAAGCUUGAUGAGGACACAGUCAAAGCUUUAAAAGACCUUGUGAUUAAGUCUUCAGUGUCUGAAUGGCAAGAAGAAGUGACCCUCCACUUAAACGUGACAUUUAAACUGCUCUGUGUUUUGGUUCAGCCAUUUGUAGGUUUAUCUCGAGUAAGUUCAAAUGCACUUCUGCAUUUGUCCAGUAACUUUUUGUUUAGAGAAUUACAUCAUUAUGAUUAUAUAAUUAUUCAAUGGUUGCAUAUUCAUAGUGUACUUUUCAUAUUGAUGUAUUAAUGUUCCACAAUUUGAUAAAAGUAGCUCAUUGCAUUUCACUGAUCUUUGUUUUAUAUUGUAAAAUCAUUUCAAUAGCAGUGAAUACAUACUUAGUUGUUUCUUUAACAUUUAAUUAGUUGUUAAUGAUGGAAGAAACCGGUUCGUAUGUAUGAAUACAGAAUAGGUAUCAUUUUAGAAUGAGUUAAAACAUGUUUUGGUGGCAAACAUGCAGGUAAAAUAGUACAUGUAUAACAUUCUAAUAGUAAACUUGACUGUAAUUCAAAUGUCACAUACAGUACAUUAGAAAUGAUUUAUUUUAUGUAUACAAAUGUGUGGGCAAUAUAUUAUUAUUUCAUUUUGUAUGCUAUAUUAUUUAUGUAAUAUUAUUAUAUCUGAAAUUAUUAAAUUACAUUUAUAAAUGUUUAAAAGGUGGGUUCAAAUGUGCUUCAAGUUGUA
Long non-coding RNA from Paramisgurnus dabryanus, 1384 nucleotides. RefSeq lists it as uncharacterized. NCBI's taxonomy places the organism in Eukaryota, Metazoa, Chordata, Actinopteri, Cypriniformes, Cobitidae. The record is from RefSeq and is a predicted model, not a curated record.